GACGAACGCUGGCGGCGUGCUUAACACAUGCAAGUCGAACGGUGAAGGGGUCUGCUUUUGUGGGCCCUGGAUGAGUGGCGAACGGGUGAGUAACACGUGAGUAACCUGCCCCCUUCUUCUGGAUAACCGCAUGAAAGUGUGGCUAAUACGGGAUAUUCUGGGUCUGUCGCAUGAUGGGUCUGGGAAAGAUUGCGCCUUUGGGUGUUUUUGGUGGGGGAUGGGCUCGCGGCCUAUCCGCUUGUUGGUGGGGUGAUGGCCUACCAAGGCGGUGACGGGUAGCCGGCCUGAGAGGGGGGACGGUCACACUGGGACUGAGACACGGCCCAGACUCCUACGGGAGGCAGCAGUGGGGAAUAUUGCACAAUGGGCGCAAGCCUGAUGCAGCGACGCCGCGUGAGGGAUGGAGGCCUUCGGGUUGUAAACCUCUUUCGCCAGUGAAGCAGGCCUGCUCCUUGUGGGUGGGUUGACGGUAGCUGGAUAAGAAGCGCCGGCUAACUACGUG
RNAcentral lists this ribosomal RNA (502 nucleotides) under uncultured bacterium. RNAcentral's name for it is "partial 16S ribosomal RNA". It matches the Rfam family "Bacterial small subunit ribosomal RNA", at positions 28 to 507 of the family's 1533-position model. The record is from RNAcentral.